Molecule: long non-coding RNA, 699 nt
Organism: Python bivittatus (Burmese python)
Lineage: Eukaryota; Metazoa; Chordata; Lepidosauria; Squamata; Pythonidae
Source: RefSeq, a predicted model, not a curated record
UUACCUAAGUUCAGGGGACAAGUCAGAAUCAGGGAGAACUCUCCAAGUACGAAAACGAGCUUUCACGACUGAAGUGCAGAAAAAUCAAGCAAAGAGUGUGCCUUAUUUUUUUGCUUCUCAAUAUUAAAUUAUUUCAGAUGAAAACUGCAAUGUUCCUGCCUGAUUUAAAAACAGCAACAACUGGUCUGGACCCCACAUAAUUCAUUCUGGGAAGAACAUCCAGAAUGAACUGUUUCCAUUGACUUGUGUUAGUAUCUCAAAGCCUUUAGGAGAAAUGGCUCACAAGAUUUGCUGUACUUGCACUGCAAACAAGAACCUCCUCCUGUAUGAAGUAAAAAAAAGUGCAGUUUAAUAAGUUGAGGGAAGGGAUAUGGAGACCACCAUUCAGUGAUUAUGUUGGGCAACUGGCAAGUGAGAUCCCACCAAAAACCCAAAUCAAUGAAUUUGAUUCAGAAUGGAUGGGUGUGCUUCAUGGCAUGGGGCCAGGUUAUCUGAGGGACCGCCUCUCCCUGCUUACAUCUGCCUGUCCCAUCAGAUCCAGCAGAAGAGUUGGGUUGUGGGUCUCGUCUAUUAGGAAAUUAUACUUGGUGGGCCUGAGGAGGUGGGUCUUCUCUGCCGUGAGAUCCUGAGGUGGCUCCCUUGCUAAUCUAAUCUCUUGUGAGCUUAAUGCCUUUUAAACUUUUUAAUAAUGAUUUUUUG